CAGAAUGUAGUUUAUUAUAAAAUAUUAUAUUUGGGUUAUGAAGAAGGAGAGUUCUGA
RNAcentral lists this transfer RNA (57 nucleotides) under Hammerschmidtiella sp. ZengetLiu-2016. RNAcentral's name for it is "tRNA-Pro". Lineage: Eukaryota; Metazoa; Nematoda; Chromadorea; Rhabditida; Thelastomatidae. The record is from RNAcentral.